UUGAACGCUGGCGGCAGGCCUAACACAUGCAAGUCGAGCGGAUGACGGGAGCUUGCUCCUUGAUUCAGCGGCGGACGGGUGAGUAAUGCCUAGGAAUCUGCCUGGUAGUGGGGGACAACGUUUCGAAAGGAACGCUAAUACCGCAUACGUCCUACGGGAGAAAGCAGGGGACCUUCGGGCCUUGCGCUAUCAGAUGAGCCUAGGUCGGAUUAGCUAGUUGGUGGGGUAAUGGCUCACCAAGGCGACGAUCCGUAACUGGUCUGAGAGGAUGAUCAGUCACACUGGAACUGAGACACGGUCCAGACUCCUACGGGAGGCAGCAGUGGGGAAUAUUGGACAAUGGGCGAAAGCCUGAUCCAGCCAUGCCGCGUGUGUGAAGAAGGUCUUCGGAUUGUAAAGCACUUUAAGUUGGGAGGAAGGGCAUUAACCUAAUACGUUAG
Molecule: ribosomal RNA, 440 nt
Filed under: Pseudomonas sp. ITRH14
Lineage: Bacteria; Pseudomonadati; Pseudomonadota; Gammaproteobacteria; Pseudomonadales; Pseudomonadaceae
Description: bacterial SSU rRNA
Rfam family: Bacterial small subunit ribosomal RNA
Source: RNAcentral